UACGUAGGGGGCAAGCGUUAUCCGGAAUUACUGGGUGUAAAGGGUGAGUAGGCGGCAUGGUAAGCCAGAUGUGAAAGCCUUGGGCUUAACCCGAGGAUUGCAUUUGGAACUAUCAAGCUAGAGUACAGGAGAAGAAAGCGGAAUUCCUAGUGUAGCGGUGAAAUGCGUAGAUAUUAGGAAGAACACCAGUGGCGAAGGCGGCUUUCUGGACUGAAACUGACGCUGAGGCACGAAAGCGUGGGGAGCGAACAGG
Molecule: ribosomal RNA, 253 nt
Filed under: uncultured bacterium
Lineage: Bacteria
Description: partial 16S ribosomal RNA
Rfam family: Bacterial small subunit ribosomal RNA
Source: RNAcentral